GCUAAAAACCUAGCCCAACAAAUAUGAAUUUUACUAAAUAAAUUUUUUCCUUUUAAUAAACCAUUUUAACAUUCUAGUAAAGGAGAUUGAAAAACUUAUUGGAGCCAUAACGAAAGUACCGCAAGGGAAUGGUGAAAUAUAAAAUGAAAAACCAUUAAGCAAGAAAAAGUAAAGACUGCCCCUUGUACCUUUUGCAUCAUGGUUUAACUAGUCUAAUCAAGCAAAACGUAUUUAAGUUUGACUUCCCGAAACUAAGUGAGCUACUUCGGGGCAGCUAAAAGAGCGAACCCGUCUCUGUAGCAAAAGAGUGGGAUGACCCCCAAGUAGCGGUGAUAGACCUAACGAACUUAGUGAUAGCUGGUUACUCAAGAAAUGGAUCUAAGUCCAACCUGAAAAUUUUCUAUAGUAUACCAAAACAUCGCUUAAUUUUCAGCGUAAUUCAAAUAAGGUACAGCCUAUUUGAAACAGGAUACAACCUAAACUAAUGGAUAAGACUAACUAAAUUUACAAUCAAGUGGGCCUAAAAGCAGCCAUCUUUAAAAUAGCGUCAAAGCUUAAUUGUUACAGCGCCUAAUUACCCAACCCCCAUCUUAAUCCUUAAUUUAAUAAUGAGUAAUUCUAUAAUGUUAUAGAAAAUUUUAUGUUAAAACUAGUAACAAGAAGAAGACUCUUCUCUUUAAUGUAGGUGUAAAUCAGAAAGGACAAGCCGCUGAUAAUUAACGCCAUUGAAACUAAAAUAGAAACUCAUCAAGAAAAAUCUAUUUUCACCAACGUUAAUCUAACACAAGAACAUUUUAAGAAAGAUUAAAAGAAAAAGAAGGAACUCGGCAAAUGUUAACCUCGCCUGUUUACCAAAAACAUCGCCUCUUGACCCCAAUAAGAGGUCCAGCCUGCCCAGUGACCCUGUUUAACGGCCGCGGUAUCCUAACCGUGCGAAGGUAGCGUAAUCACUUGUUCUUUAAAUGUGGACUAGUAUGAAUGGCAUCACGAAGGUUAUACUGUCUCCUUUUUUUAAUCAGUGAAACUAAUCUCCCCGUGAAGAAGCGAGGAUGAAAAUAUAAGACGAGAAGACCCUAUGGAGCUUCAAACAAUACAGCACUUGCCCCCGAAAUUUAAGUUUCUGAACAUCUUAAUUCUUUGGAAAAUAUGACUGUAAGUUUUUGGUUGGGGUGACCGCGGAGCAAAGCACAACCUCCAUGUUGAAAGAAUUUUUCUAAGCUAAGAACAACCCGCCGAAGCAUCAAUACAUUGACAUCUAUUGACCCAAUAUAUUUGACCAACGAACCAAGUUACCCUAGGGAUAACAGCGCAAUCCACUUCAAGAGCUCCUAUCGACAAGUGGGUUUACGACCUCGAUGUUGGAUCAGGGUAUCCCAGUGGUGCAGCCGCUACUAAAGGUUCGUUUGUUCAACGAUUAAAACCCUACGUGAUCUGAGU
This 1437-nucleotide ribosomal RNA is filed under the name Rhinella limensis (Peru coast toad). RNAcentral's name for it is "partial 16S ribosomal RNA". It matches the Rfam family "Bacterial large subunit ribosomal RNA", at positions 23 to 2610 of the family's 2925-position model. The record is from RNAcentral. Lineage: Eukaryota; Metazoa; Chordata; Amphibia; Anura; Bufonidae.